Molecule: non-coding RNA, 214 nt
Filed under: Limosilactobacillus gastricus
Lineage: Bacteria; Bacillati; Bacillota; Bacilli; Lactobacillales; Lactobacillaceae
Description: Lactobacillus gastricus T-box sequence
Rfam family: T-box leader
About the family: Uncharged tRNA acts as the effector for transcription antitermination of genes in the T-box leader family.
Source: RNAcentral
UCUGAUGCGAUGAUCGGAAGAGUAAUUAGUAAUGAGUUAAUCAGAGAUGGCUGGAUAGUGCGAACAGCUGAACUGAUUACUAAUGAAAGUAAUCCAGGAGCAAAAGCAGUGAACUUGAGUAGUUGCUUUCGGUUCAUUACCGUUAUCAAUGAUAAAGUGGAAAUGUAAUUACAUUUCAAUUUAGGUGGUACCGCGAGAAGAGCUCGUCCUAUUU